UAUGUACAAACUUCGAUCAACAAUAGUAACUAGAUUUCGGGUCGGUGCAUAAAAUCCGUCUCGUCAAAUAACAGCGCACUUGAAAUGUGAGCUCUUAUUUUGUUUAGUUCACUUCAAACACAGCCAAUGUCAACCCGUCUCACAAUACCGCAGUGUGUAUUCAAAAGUUGCAAAAAUAAGGCCCGAAAAAGCAAUUUAACGGCCGGAGUAUCUUACUUUCGCUUUCCUAGCAAUCACGUGUGCAGAAUGGAUCUCGAUUGUCGCCAGAGAAACAAGAGAUGACUUUUAUAAGCCAGCUAAGAACUCCGCUUAUUGACACUGGACAUCUUUGCCUUCCGUGCUCACGGCUACUGAAAUGUGGCCGAAACAUUGUAAUAAAAAUACCACGCUUGAAACCGUUUAAA
Molecule: long non-coding RNA, 404 nt
Organism: Bombyx mori (domestic silkworm)
Lineage: Eukaryota; Metazoa; Arthropoda; Insecta; Lepidoptera; Bombycidae
Exons: 2
Source: RefSeq, a predicted model, not a curated record